GUUAGGAAUAUUCGUCAAUGGGGGAAACCCUGAACGAGCAAUGCCGCGUGAGUGAUGACGGUCCUUUGGAUUGUAAAACUCUGUUGUUAGGGAAGAAAUGAUUGUAUAGGAAAUGAUACAAUUUUGACGGUACCUUUCAAGAAAGCUCCGGCUAACUACGUGCCAGCAGCCGCGGUAAUACGUAGGGAGCGAGCGUUAUCCGGAUUUAUUGGGUGUAAAGCGUGUGUAGGCGGUUUUAUAAGUCUAGGGUCUAAGCCCGGAGCUCAACUCCGGUUCGCCUUGGAAACUGUAAGACUUGAGUUUGGUAGAGGUAAAUGGAAUUUCUAGUGUAGCGGUGAAAUGCGUAGAUAUUAGAAGGAACACCAGUGGCGAAGGCGAUUUACUGGGCCAACACUGACGCUGAGACACGAAAGCGUGGGUAGCAAAUAGGAUUAGAAACCCUAGUAGUCC
This 450-nucleotide ribosomal RNA is filed under the name uncultured bacterium. Its description in RNAcentral is "bacterial SSU rRNA". It matches the Rfam family "Bacterial small subunit ribosomal RNA", at positions 354 to 796 of the family's 1533-position model. The record is from RNAcentral.